Small nuclear RNA from Neodiprion fabricii, 137 nucleotides. RefSeq annotates it as U11 spliceosomal RNA. The transcript has a single exon. The record is from RefSeq and is a predicted model, not a curated record. Lineage: Eukaryota; Metazoa; Arthropoda; Insecta; Hymenoptera; Diprionidae.
AAAAAGGGUGCUCGUCACUUUAAUGGCGCAUCGGAUCGUUACUGAUCCGGUGGGGUAUGGCUAUCAAGGCAUACCCAGUACAUAAUUUUUGAGAACGUGAGGCUGUUGGCUGCCACAUUUUUAGCACCGGCGCCUCC